Molecule: long non-coding RNA, 6876 nt
Filed under: Sus scrofa (pig)
Lineage: Eukaryota; Metazoa; Chordata; Mammalia; Artiodactyla; Suidae
Description: lncRNA (ENSSSCG00000058899.1)
Source: RNAcentral
GAUAGCACUGAAGAGCUUUAGAGUAGAAAUCAGAGAAGAGUAAUGCUUUGUCCUGGGCUGCACUGGUUAGGCAGAAGGUGAGUGGAAAACAGAACAGCUUGACUGAAUAAUGAUGGGAAGAAACUGGAGGAGGGAGGCCAGAGACUGGACAAAUGAAUCUAGCUACAGUGGCUUGAUGCCUCUGUGGGCAUCCAGGUGGGCUAACCCAGGCACGGUGCACCCAGGAGCAAAUAUGUGUCAGUCAAAGACAUAGACAGGAAAUCCAUCACUCUAAUGGGUAUAUGGGGUAGUGGAAAUUCACAUGAUGCCAUGAAGUAAGGCAGAGUACCAUAGCAGGCCUGGUCAACCUAGUAGCUAAAUCUGGAAUAGAAGUUGAUGUCAGAACCUGAGAAUUGAAGGAAGCUGGGGAAAAAAGACUCUUAUAUCAGGAUUGUGUGUUUCACAACACAUGAGGCUAGCCAGAAUUAGUCAAGCCCCUUCUGAAUUUCAGCUUUUAAAGUCAGUCUGUGAAGCAAUCAACUUGAGAUCACUCCCCCUUUUAUUUUUUAGUUUUUUGCUUUUUUUUUUUUAGGACUGCCUUCAUGGCAUAUGGAAGUUCCCAGGGUAGGGGUCUAAUCAGAGCUGUAGCUGCCAGCCUAUACCACAGCCACAGCAACACCAGAUCCCAGCCAUGUCUGUGACCUACACCACAGCUCCUGGCAAUGCCAGAUCCUUAACCCACUGAGCAAGGCCAGGGAUGGAACCCCCUGUCCUCAUGGAUCCUAGUCGUGUUUAUUACUGCUGAGCCUCCCCCUUUUAAAACCUCCUUUUUCUUUGAUUCCUUCCAUCUCUGAACUUUUGACUCCAUAACGUUAUCUCUUAUUUUUACAUAUAUUCUCUUUAGAUUUAUUUUUGUUUUUCCCCUUCCUAUGCAUGGAUCUUGGCUCUACGAACGUAUGCUAUGUACUCUAUAAAAUACACCUCUGGUUUUCCCAAGCUCCCUCUGUCCCAUAUCCUCUAGCACUGCUCUUUGCUCCACAGACCAGGUAAGUUCUUCUUUUCAAGUGACUACUGACUGAUGUAGCCUUGGUCUCAAUUAGCACAGUCUUCACUCUGGCCACAAAACCAGCAACCACUUAAGUACUGGCCCUCUCAUUGGGUAAAGAUGCAGGCAUUGUAAUAUGAACCAAUCAAACUGAGGAAGAGGACACAGUAUUAUUCCAAGUGUAAAACAUAGAUAAACUGAGGCAAAAGCCCCCCAUUUUAUAGCCUGGACCAAAUCAGCAUGCAAUCAAUGCCUCCACUCAGAAGCCUCAUGAUCUGGCACUGGUUUUAUGAGUGAUAUGAUAACUUGUAGGUCACACUAACUAGCAGUGCUGCGGGUUCUGGUCAGCUUCUACACGAGCCAUCUGGGCCAGCAGCUGGUGAUCAUCAGUGACCCUGUCUCCAGUGGAGAAUAUGAAAUCAACUGACUUCUAGGGUGAGGAAAACAUAUACACACAUGACAGCAUAGUGCAUGAAAGGGAAAAUAGUGUACAAUACUUGAAAGGAAGAAUGAUGUAUAUAGCAGGAACAUCUUGAGAACAGAUACUGACCAUUAGACAUAAUGAGAGUCAGUAAACUUCUUGCCACCCACGUAAGAACAAGAGAGCCACUGGGAACACAGGACUAAAAUAUUGGCUCAGCCACUUCUUGGCUGAAGAAUUAUUACCAACUCCCUAUUGAGGAAGAAUUGGUAAUAAAUACUAAACUCAUACACCUGUACUGUUAAGUUUAACUCAUAAUUCAUACAUAACUUAAUCUAGUUAAUAUUUUAUAAGUUUAUUCACACAAUGAUCAAAUUAUUCCUAAAGAAUGUUCUGGAUUUAAAACCCAAUUAAAGGUCCCUAUCCAGGUGUUGAGAAAAGCUUCCAAUUAUUUUAUCAAUGGACCAGUGCCUCAAAAAAAAAUCUAAAUUAAUUGUUAAUUGAGCUUUUUACAUGUAUUCCUUCUUGGGGGAAAAAAAAACAGUGGAGACAGUGAGAAGAGGAUUUCAUGAUUGUUUUACCCUAGAAAAUUUUAAUAACAGAUAAAAAUAGGAGGAGGUCAGUUUUUUAGAAGUGGUGAUUAAUAGUUAAUUCCCACUUUGACACAUGAACACUGAGUACCUUUUCCUGAAUCCACUCAUAAGUGUUUUUUAAACCUGAUUUGUUGGAUAACAAGGAAUGUUUUUAGUGGCAAUAUUAUACAUUUAUGAAAUAAAUGUGGAUUCAAUUAAUACGCUAUAUUCAUACUCAGUCUGUCAAAUUCCUAUUUUUAAACAAUGGAGUUCACUGAGCAAGCUAAUUUAAUGCCUUACUAAAAAGAAAAAAGAAUGGCCAUUCUCUCUAGUCAAAGAUACAUGUGGAUAGAAUUUAAGCAAGUGAGUCUUUUCUCUGUGGAAUACAAAAAUAUAACUGAGUAUAUAUUUUAAAUACAUACACACAAUGGAAGAAAUCAAACUAAAUGUGUGUGUUUAACCUCUUCAACUUGCUGAAUAUUGGAUGUGGUAAGAUUGGGUAUGACAGUCAAGUAGCUAAGUUGAAAGUUUUCUCUUUGUGUAUGUUAUUUUUACCCUUCUCUGUUCAUAAUCUAAAUAGAAACAGAUGACUUCUUCAGCAGUAUUUAGCCAUUUUUCUUCAAAAAAAUAUGUCAGUUUCACAAAGAUGAAUUGAAUGAUUUAUUAUGCCAAUAAUCAAUCCUUAAAAAACAAAGCUGGAAAAAUUAAACCAUGUUUGCUACUGAAUGAUCAGUUAUAUCUACUUCUCUUUCUUGUUUCACAUAUGAUCAUCAUUUGGAAUAAUAACCAUAUACCCAAAAAAAUGAGGCAAAAAGGAGUGCAUUAUCAUAUUUUAUAUUGUAUAUUUAAUACAUUUACUUUUGUGCAACAACAGUUUAACAAGUUUCUCCUAACAAUGGAGAUUAAUAGAAAUGCUAUAAUUGUCAUUCUUUAUUUAUGCCAAACAGCCAAGAAAAGUUCUUGAUUCUCAAGAAAGAUUUUGUGAGAACGUUGUAGGAAUUUGUACUGUCUUGUACUUUUAUCCCUAUCAGGUAGAUUGGAAACAAUGGACAUAUCAUAGCCUUCAUAUAACGUUCUGUUCUCAUCUAGAAUCUCAGCUUAAUCAUCAGUGAUGCCCAGAAAUCAUUUUAGGCAAAAUUAUGAAGUAGAAAACUAGCUUUUCUACCUCCCUUGCCUAUAUCAUUUUAGCAUUUUUUUCUCUCUUUUCAUUUCUUUAGAACCCAUUACCAUUAAAUGGUUCCAUCCUGAAGUCAAUUAAAUAGCCUAUCUCAUUCAAAAAUUAAUUGCAUUCACACUCUUUUGAUGAGAAAAAGCUGAUUUCAUGGGAUAACUUAUAUGAUGAAAAUUCAGGCACUAUGGAUUAUGGAAAGGGAAUAUCUUGAAGAGAUCUCCUUAGUAUCGCUGUAAAAAACAUAUCUUGCUUUGCCCUUAAGACAUUUCUUAAAAGUGUGUAUGGGGGGGAAGGGGGGACUAACUUACCAAAUCCUGUAAACACACUCAUACAUAUCCAAAGGGAUUUAUCUUAUACAUAUCUGCCAUAAUUUUGAGUGUUGAAUGAAUAAAUUAUCAUACUCAGAUAUGAGGGUAUAUUCACUUACAUACAUAUAUAUAAAAUUUGCGUGAGAAAUAUUCAUAGCUAAUAAUUGCUUGUAUGUUUUAAACUGUUGUAUUGCAUUCACCAGAGGAUAGUUUAAAAAUGCCAAUCUGAUUUAUUUUUAAAUGCAAGAAAUGACAGCUGUAAUUUGUGAGGACUGACAGCCAGGACUAGGCAAUAGCGUUUAAACCAAUGAGAAAUCAGAAUAUUUGACAACUGUUCUUCCAAGACUCAAAUUUUCCUGUGGUGCAGGACCCUGACAAACAACCGUUAGUGAACCGUGGUCCUAUGAAAAUCAAUUUAUGAUCACUUAAAUUUUAGGACAUGCCAAUACUUACCAGAAUAGGCUUUAAAAGCUGUAUAACUUUCAUCAGGAAAAAAAAAAUCUGCAAAAGAAUAUCUGAAGCUAUAACUACAUGAUUAAUUUUUUUGCCACUAGAAAUAUCAAUCACUAAAUACCAAACAUUUUCCUCAGAGCUACUAGAGACAUUAAAUCAAUUUGUAAAAUGCCAACAAGACAUUGCACAAUACAUUUCCUGCUCUGUCAAAGAGCAUUCUCCAGAAUAUUCACACUGUAGAAUGUUACAGCCUACCAAGUAUGCCACCAUCCUAGCAAGCAAUGAGUCUCCAUCUAUAAAAGUUAAGAAUUUGUUUAAAUCUGAAAGUUUUCCAACUACGGCAAGGAAGUUACCAGCCUUGAAAAAUGCAGAGAAUCUGAGUUUUGCAGUACGUUGGCGUAUUAGUGGUCCAGUGGUCCGCAUCAUUGAAUAAGAAGUGUUGAGGGUAAGGGGAGAAACAAAACAGGCAGGAGAGAUCAAAUAACCAAGAUCAGCCUUUCGGAAAUCCCCAAAUAAACUAUUUCCCCUCAUAUUUUAUUCCCACUGUCCUUCUGAUACCCUUCUCACUCUGGUACCCUUCUUCCUCACUUCCUAGAAUCAAAAAUAUAUUUUGUCCCACAGUUUUCUCUAUCCUUUGCUCUUGUAUUAAAACUAACCUCUUUCCUACCCUGUAUUCUACAAAGCUAUAUUCUUUGGAAGAUACUUCCUUUCCUUGACUUAAAUAUUUAAAAAAUAUCUCCUACCACCAAGUGAUGUGAUAGGGGCUAGUGAUAUAGAGAGGAAGGUGGAAACAGCUCCUUGAUGAUGGGAGCAUUCCCAUCUAGAUGAAAAUAUUCCUGAAAAGGGGCUAAAAAUACAUUAUUUGUAAGGUCUACCUGCUUUUGCAUUGUAAUAGCUUAUUCCUAUGUAGAACAAAUAACCUGAAAAAGGUAAUUUUAAUGGGAAGAAUUUGAGAUACUGUGUGGGGAGCAGGGAGGUAAUUUGGGUGAGAAAAAGAAGAUAAAAUAGCCUUUAAAUAACAGUCAUAGAACGUGUUGGCUCCUUCAACGUUGUUUUCAUGAAAAAGCAACACAAUUACUAAGUACAUAUCAUGCCUGCUAAGUAUUAAAAUUAUGUGAUCACUCUGGAAUAGUAACAUAUGUUUCUCCUACAGUGGUAAAGUCAGUUUUGUUGUCUUGAAAAUUAAGUCUCAACUGAAAAGUGAGGUCACUCCCAUUAUUAGUCACCUCAGUAAGGGCCAAGUGAAGGAACAUCCAAAGUUAAAGAAUUGUACUUCUCAGACAGGUGAUGUUGCCCUCCAAGAGACUUUUGACAAUGUCUGGAAAUGUUUUUGCUUGUUAAACCCAGGGUAAGUGCUAAUGGCAUAUAGUGGAGAGAGAGCAGGAUCUGCUGCAAAACUUUCUACAAUACGCAAGACAGUACCCGCAACAAAGAACUAUCCAGCCCCAAUACCCAAAUAAAGGGUAUUGUGGCAUCUCUUUUCCUAAUGUUAUUAUCACUUUUCUAUCCUAAUAUUCUUGAUCCUACCACCAAUGGACUAGGGGCAAGCUUACCACGACAGGAUUAAAAAUGUUAUAUUGUCACAACCUUAUCUAAAAGCAUUCAAUGAAUUUCUCAAACUUAGGUAAGCAUUAAAAUAGCUCAGAUAAUUUUUAAAAUAUUUAUUCCUAAGUCUGCUUCCAGGGAAGGAGCCAGGAAUCUUAGUUUUUCAGGUUGGAGAAACAUACGAAAGGAAACACCUGCCCGUUGGAUAACACCCAGUUUCUUUAACUUUGGUACAAUCCUCCACUAUGAUCCAAUCCAUGCCUGUUUCUUCUGAUACAUGUAUCGUCCUUCUCCUCUCAUAACCUAAAGUCCAGCUAUUUUGAUCUACUUGAAAUUCACUGAAACACUGUACCAUUCAUGUUUCUUCUGCCUAGAUCCUCUUUCCUUUGUCCUACUGGUGAAGGUGAAUAACAAGUAUUAUGCUGUUAUGUUGAGUGGCUAUUCAAAAAGAAAGAAAAAAUUUCCCUGAUUUGUAGCAUUUGCCAAUUUUUGUAUUAAAAAAUAUUCCCACAAUGGUCAGUUUCAAACUACCAUUGCAACAUUUCUGAAAACUGAGCUGGAAAAAAUAUGCACCAUCAGCUCUUGAGAACUGGUAUGAGCUAAUCCCCACAAAAUGUUGCUGUUAAUGUUAACUUUUACCUUCCUGGAAGCCUUUUGCAAUAACUCAAGACUUAUCUUUUGCAAUCUAAUAUUGCAAUUAUUCCUCCUUUCACUAGUAUUUCUAAUAUGCAUAACUGUGAGUUCUUUGAGAAGCAGGUCUAUGGUUUUAGUUAGUGUAUAUUUUAACUCAAAUGUUUCUGUACUUAACAUUUUUUGGGGGUAUGUUUUCCUCUUAUAUUCUUACUUAUUAAAUAAAGUGUUAAAAUCUUGUGUUUUCUAAGUUUUGGCUUCAGUUAUAUUAUAGUAAAUCAAACCAAAGGGUUUUUGUUUAUGUGCAAGCCAAAAUAUUAAAGGAGGGGGAGUAUCUUCUGGGAGCCAGCAGAAACCCUAAUAAAAGGGAUAUGCGACCUUGGGAAGUUAACUUUGGGCUACUUUUCAGUAAUGGGGGUUCUCCUCCAAAAUAUCCAGGUACUGGGUUAUUUCAGUCAGAGUAAAUUAUAUUUUCUUAUAUCAUAUGUUAGCAUAUGGUCAACUUUGCUGAGUUGAGCUGUUUCUCCUUUUAAUUAUCAGGGACUUCUUAAUUUGAACUACUUUUUUCUCAAGAAAGAUCCCCUUAUUGCUUCACUCCUAAGUAAUUACUUUCCUGAAUUGGAAUGUAUUUUUGAAAACUGAGAUAAUGGAUAACUGCUCUAGUGCCCAGAAAAGACAGAGGAAGAUAUUUUAUGCUACCGUAAGAAAGAAUGAAACAGUCUUAAAUAGGUGGGCAGAUUAUUUCAUUUCAU